UUCCUAUAACUCUUCUAUAUUCUGCCGGGUCAGACAAUUUAGCACCUGUUGUGAGCGUCAAUAUGGAAUUGCUUGCCAUUGGUGUUGAUAUUGAUUUUGCAUUGCUCAUAUGUGUCUGCUUAAGAAGCUCUAAAAUGUAUUUGCGUUGUGACAACAGUAGCCCGUGCUUAUUUGGUAUAACUUCAAUACCUAGAAAGUAGUGCAGUGAGCCCAAAUCUUUGAGAGAAACCCUCGUUGCCAAAACAGUGAUAUAAUCUUGAAUAAGCCUUGUACAACUACCCGUGAUUAUGAUAUCAUCAACAUACACAAUAAGUAGCAAAGUACCUUUCUUUUAAUGACUAAUUUAUAAAUAAAGAAGCAUCUGAUAAGGAAUUGACAAAACCUGUAUCCAGUAGAUGUUGACGUAGAGCUUGAUACCAAGCCCUGGGCCCCUGUUUCAACCCAUAGAUUGCUUUCCGUAAAUGACAAACAUAAUGGGGUUAUCUACAUCUUGAAACCCUUGUGGCUGGGCCAUGACUACAUCUUCUGUCAAUGGCCCUUGUAAAAAAGCAUUGUUAACAUCGAGUUGACGUAGUUCCCAACCAUUAGUAACUGCUAUACUAAGAACUAGUUGUAUAGUUAUUGGUUUAACAACCGGACUAAAUGUUUCAUAAAAGUCGACAACGGGACGUUGAUGAAAGCCUUUUGCCAUUAAUCGGGCUUUGUAUCGUUGAACCGUACCAUCUGAAUUACGCUUGAUCCGAAACACCCACUUGCAGCCAACCAGAUUUUGAGAAUCAGUAGGAGGAACUAAUUUCCAAGUCCCAUUACUCACCAAAGCAUCAAAUUCUUCAGAACAGGCUUUCCUCCACUUAGGAUCUGUGAAUGCUUGUGAAAUUGUGCGAGGUUCAGUGUCAGUACUUGAUGUGAACUCACAAGAAAGACUAAGCAGACUAAGCUUUUGUAUGGGUUUAUGAAUAUUAUUUUUGCUUCGUGUGACCGUAUGAUGACUAUUUAUUACUGCUGGUUGACGAAUACUAACAUCAGAAUGUUGCUCUUGAGUGUGAGACACAGGAGUUGGAACAACAGCAUUAGGCACAUGAGCUGCAACACCAGCUAUAACAUCAAGAUUAGGCACAUGAGCUUGUACCUCAGCACAAAUAGCAGCUGAUAUGUCUGUGUUGUAAGGAAGUCUCUGAGCAGUGGAACCCUCUUGUCUAGGUGCAGCAGGUACCAUAGGCGUAGUAAUGAGUGGCAUGGGAAUUUCUGAAAAAGUAGCAGCAUGGGAUGAAUUUAUCCAUGCUGAAAUUGGAGGCGACGACAAAGACACUGACUUUAAGGAAGUAGCAAAUGGGAAAACAGAUUCAACAAACUGAACAUGACGAGAGGAUGACCUAGACGAGAAUGCCAAUCAAUGGCAGAAGCAACGGUGGAUGAAAAAGCUAGCAAAGGAGUUGAUGUAGGCCACUUAUAAACUCCAUCCUUAGGCGUGCCCCUGAGAAAGUGGCACUACCAGUGUGACUGAUACUCAAACCUAAACCAUCUCCAAUCAUCACAUCCUCCAUUCCCGUGUACAGGCAGUGUAAAGACAAAUUAUUGAGGUCAGCAGUAAUAUGCUGAUUAGCACCAGAAUCCAGCAGCCAUGGGGUUGAUGAAGAAGAAGAAACUGCAGAAAAAUUGGCUUGUGGAUGACUUGCAACUGGAACAACUCGAAAGGAAGGACACCGGUUAGCUGAAUGACCUUGAGUACCACAUAUUUGACAACGGUCAAGUGGCUGGAAAAUAUGUUGGUGUAGCAGAAGGAAGAGUUGCCUCAAAGUUAUGAGUUUUUCAUGUAACUCAUCAAAGGGUAUCGCAGAAUCACGAGCAUUGAUAGCCUGUAUGAUUUCUUUGUAAGCAUUUUCCAAACCUUCUAAAAUACGAUGAGUGAUGUCUUCCUCAGACAUAGGUGAGUAUAACAUUGCUAGUUCAUCAGUUUUCAUCCGAAUUGCCUGCAUGUAUUCUAUAACUGUUGAACUACCUUUUGUGAUGCUUUUAAGUUGAGCUUUGAUUUGUUUGAUUCUGCCCCUAGAAGGUUUGGCAUAGAUAGUCUCAAGAAUAUCCCAUGCUUGUUUGGAUGUUUUGGCUGUUGCAAUGAAAGGAAUAAAAGAAGGUCAGAGAGCACCAAUGAAAGCAUUGAUGAGAAGAUGAUCUUGCCUAAUCCAAUGACUAUAUUCUGAAUUGGGAGUAGAAGUUCCAGAAACAGUGGGAGAUGGACAAGGAUGAGAGCCAUCUAUAUGGCCAAGAAGAUCAUAACCUAUUAACAAGCUUUGAAACUGAGGUUUCCAAGCAAUGUAAUUUGAUCCUGUGAGCUUUAGAGCUUUAGAGGAGCUUGUGCAGCUACAUUAAAUGUUACUAAUUGUAUAGAUGUAUCACUCAUUGUGGAAGAGAUGAAAAAGAAGAAAGGAAAAGGAUCAAGAGACGUUUGUCUUGGAGCUCUGAUACCAUAAAAGACUAAAACAAUGUUACUACAACAGAUAUAUUUUAUUGAUGUAAACUAUAUGUAUUUAUACA
Jatropha curcas is the source of this 2532-nucleotide long non-coding RNA. RefSeq lists it as uncharacterized. The record is from RefSeq and is a predicted model, not a curated record. Lineage: Eukaryota; Viridiplantae; Streptophyta; Magnoliopsida; Malpighiales; Euphorbiaceae.